UGUGGUGCUACAGUAACCAUUUGCUAAUAAUAGAAUAAUUAGAUUUAAUAGAUUCGUCCGCGAAUUAACCCAGGUUCUGCAAUUAAUUUUAUAAUUAACUCAUAUUUAAUCCUCCUAAUUAGGAUCUGAACACUAAAUAUCCACGGUAGAGCCUUGAAUGGAUCGAGAAAAUAGCUGGAGGGAGUUACAUGCAAUUAAUUUUAUAAUUAACUCAUAUUUAAUCCUCCUAAUUAGGAUCUGAACAUCAAUCGAUGUUUAAUCCUCCUAAUCAUCAAUUGGUUAGUAUCAAGCACCCCCUAAAUAUCCACGAGCCUCGAAUGGAUCAAGAAAAUAGCUGUAGGGAGUUACAUGCAUAAAACCGUCCACGUCAUGUGUCACGGUAGCAAAGUAGAUCUAUAGUACACGUGACCAUAUAUGCACAAAAUUCAUGUAUCCGCUACUUACUGGAUUAAAGUGAUAUAUUUUAUAUGCUGUUUGGUAGGAAUCGAUUGUGCAAAUCGAUUGCCUGUUCAGCGAAUACAUUUCCUUUAUAAAGUCUAAACUUGGGCCAGGUAAGACUACUCGUGCCCAUGGGCUGCAGCCCAAAGAUUUUUUUUAACUAGGCCCAUUCAGAUCAGUCGGAUGGGGAUGGCAUGGGGAGCGCCAUGUCUGACGGUGACUUGUGAGGAACUGAGCAUGCGCUUGCUGCUGCCUGAUAAACACACAUUCUAAGCUGAAGAAUCAAAUGGAAGUCGGGGAAAGAUCACAGAAAAUCAAGUGUUGCUUCUCUACGGCGCCGGCAGAUUUUCACGAGGCUGCCGCCGACUGAGCGCUCGUUACGCAGCAAACACAGAGAAAGAUCUUUAGCUAAGCAGAGGAAGAAGUGCACCCAAAACCCAGCGAAUUUCACCCGGAAACUGGAAGAACGCAACCGCAAAUCAGAACCGGGACGGCAACCCCAGCAUGGAAACACGAGAAACGAAGAACAAAAAGAAAAGAUCGAUGCGCUCGUUCCGGCAUCCGAAGCGGAUGGGUGCGGGCGAUGGAAGGAGCCCAUGGAAAUCAUCGGAUUAGAUGGCAUAGGAAAGUGGCAGCGGAGGCCGGCUAGCAACUUUCCCAAGCACCUAAUCCUACAACUCCCAGGAGCUCUGCUCCCGUCGCCACCCCUCCGUCUGCUCUCAGCUCUACCCGGUCUAGGCCUCGGCUACACCCUCGCUUGCUUCGCUGCCGCGAUGUGCCGCAGCUCCGGCGGACGGCGGCACGUAUAUAUAGGGCCAUAGGGGAGGUUGGCGGUGGGUGCGCUCCGGGUUGGCUGAGGCAAGGCAAGGCAUCGAAGAAGGUG
This 1321-nucleotide long non-coding RNA is filed under the name Setaria viridis. RNAcentral describes it as "long non-coding RNA (SVIR_LNC005203)". Lineage: Eukaryota; Viridiplantae; Streptophyta; Magnoliopsida; Poales; Poaceae. The record is from RNAcentral.